GGAGGAGUCUUUUCUUGAGAGAGACGCAGCAGGGCUAGCUUGCUGCCAUUAGGAAUUUUCUUUGCGGAGGCUUCCAGGAUGCAACUCGUCUCAGAAGGCGGUGGGUCCCCUGUGCUGUGGCCUCUCGUGGGGGGUGAUCAGGAGUCACACAUUUUCCUGCUGCCCAGGACACUGGAGAUCUGUCACUCCAAUGGUAGGACAGGAAACGUGAGACGGCUGAGUCCCUUAGACCCUGGUUUCAUAGUCUACUGGUUUGAAUGAAAGACGGAUUCCUAGAUACCCCAGAUCCUGGGAGAGAAGAUGUCCCUGCUUAGGAAUCUCUGGGGAGCACAACCACGGCUGAUUUGGGGACAGGAUUUCAUAGGGGAGGGGCUAGGAGCAGGGCCCACCCCUUCCCUGCAGUCCACGGCACCAGCAACCCACAGGGAAGCACGCCGUGUCCGCUAAGAUGCUUAAAGAUUCUAUCACUGUUUGCGUUAGAAAUAAGCAGCUAAGUUUCCCGGCAAUUGUCGCCAUCUGCACCCACGAGGGAGGAAAAACUCAUGUGAGCACAGUUUCUAAAAAAACAGUAGUAUUCUUAAGAGAAAAGAGGACAAAAAAGGCUUAACUUAUAAUUUGUGUCUACUAGAAGAAAAAGGAAGAAAAAAAAAACACAUACACCUGACCCCUCGCCACCCUUUCUCAGGAUGGGAGGUUCACGUCCGGAACCUCACACGCUGGGGCUUCGUAAGGCACCCCUGCAUCCCCGUUUCCUGGAAUCCACUGAAAGAAAAUGGCAAACCGGCCAAGAUAUUUGCCUGAGGUUUGCUAAGAAAACAUAUUCUCCGUUUGAGUUGCUUUCUGAGGGGAGGGUCGGAGAUGUGGUUUAAGUAAGAAAAUCGCUCGUGGACAGUUAUGGAAAUAAUGACUCUCUUCACUGCCCCGCAUGUCUGGCUACAGUUACAGGAAGCAAAGUGGAACAGUGUUUUCAAAUUACCUGGGGGGCGCGGGCAGGGAGAGCAAGCCAGUGAGCAGGCCAGAGCCGAGGAAACAUCAUUCUGUGUCAGUUAUCAGGAUAAUUCCACAGCCGAAGCAUGCUGUGGUUAGUUACUCUUAAGUGGGAGGUGGGAAGGUUCUGGAGACUGGCCAGACUUCGAGAUGAAAUAAGAGAAUCUAUUUCGUCUGAUUUGUUGCCCACACUCCCUAGAGAAGAACGUAGCUCGGGUCUCUGACGUCUACCCACCAUGAACCCCCAAGGACUUAUCGUCAUGCUCUUUUAAUAAGGCACUUCCUAGCUGCAGGAUGCCGCGUGCUGGGCGAGGCUUUGGGCCUGGCAAGGUGAAUCAGAUCCCCUGAAUACAAAGAGCUUUCCAGCCACAGAGCAGUGUCCACGGGAAGUCAGAGGAGGGGGCCUCUUGCGGAAAUCCCCAGAGAGGGGGAAUACUGAUGUUGGUCCCGGAAGGAUGAGGAAGACCUUGGCAGGGAAGGUGUUCAGGGCAGGAAAGCUCUCGGUAGAUGAUUUUCCAAGGAUGAGCAAGUCAGGAAAACGGCGCGGCUGAAAGCAGACUUGCCUGGAAGGGGCAGAAUGGAGCGGCAGCAUCACACGGCAGCAGCAUCUGGAAGCUUGCCGGAAAUGCAGAAUCGCGGGCUCACCCCAGACGCUAGCGAGGACCGGAAGUGAUUUACCUAUCAGCUUUGAUGACGUAAACUAGGACCAGAGCCUGGGGAAUGUAAGAAGCUUGACACCGAAGGCCUCCUCCGUUCGCCUCCCACGUCCAAAAAAAGGCGGCCUCGUCCGUUCCUGUAAGAGCUGGGAGCUCAGCCGAUCACGCGCGGUUGGCGGUCACACCGCGGUCUGGAGCCGGAACGCCAUGCAACUAACAGAAACCCUCCCGUGCUCGGCUCGGCUUCCACGUUUCAGGGGAAAACAAGUACUGGGAACACAAAUUCGCACCUGGGAUUUAUCCUUCCCUCUUUCUGUAACACUCAGAGCGCCGCCGGGGCUGGGGGCUGGGCACAGGCACCUUUGCCCUAUGCUCGGUGCUCCGAGGGGGGUGGCGGUCGGUGGCGGCGGAAAGGGACUUGGCGGGGACGGCAGGGUCUCCAGGCGCCGGGCCGCGUCAUCCUGGCUGCUGCCUACCUCUGGGCUUGAUUUCUUGGCCCACGCACUGCGGAUUAAAAACCUAGAGCCUCUUCAGUAGAGUCGUCGUUGCGAAGAUUAGGACUUUGGGGGACUGCUCACCCGGCAGCCGCUCGACAGGACCGGGCGCCUUUCUGAACUCGUGCACGCAGUUGUCUUUGCACAAGGCCAAGGGCACCCCGGGCUGGCCCCAAGGCCUGAGACCUUGGCUCUGCUAGGAGGGCUUUGAUGACGCCCCUCUCCGGGUCUAACACUGGCAGGCGCCGGGGGUGCUCCCCCCCCCCCCCGGGGGAUCCCAGCAAAGGUUUUCCUGCUCUCAAGCCACCCCGGGAACCAACCGCGAACCUCAGCAUUUCAGGGGGGCCUGGAGAGCCGCAGCCCUCAGCCUCUUCCCUUCUAGGAAACACAGCGCCACCUCUUGGACGAGAGCCGCACUGACUCGGCUGGGCUGUUGGCUGUGAUUCCCUCACCUGAACCCUCUUCGCUAUUUCCUUGUAAGGGCCUGGCGGACACGUUUAUCCCCCUCUCUUCCACCCCAACCGCUCCUGCCUAGUUUCUCUGGGUCUUUGACCGGUACCUUCGAGGGAGUUUUCGUCCUCGUUUCUAAUUUCAUAGCUCAGUUCAAACCUGCAAAGGCUGAUUCUCUAGGAGGAUUAUGUUCAGCCCCGUUAACACGAGGGGUUUCUCCUUCCUACACCUUAGCAGCGGCGGGCGGGGGGAGCAGAGCAGUCAACGUCCUGCCCUCUGCUGCCAGGCGGCCUGUGUCCCGAUCCCUCUCCAGCCGUGUGACCUUGGGCAAGUUACUUAACCUCUCUGUGCCUCCGUUUCCUCAUCCGGAAAACAAAGCCGCCGGCAGAAGCCAACGCCAACGCUUGUGGUGGCAUUAGGUGCGUCAGUGCCUGUGAAGCACUUAGAAGAGGCCCGCGGCGGACGGAGAACUGAGUGUUUGCCACCAAGGGGUUUCAGGGGCCGCGUUCCCUCCUACAACGCUUACUAGGCGGGAAUAUGGUUUCGUGUGACCUGUCGGGUCACCCACCAGGCCAGUGUUGGUGCAGAGGGCGCUAUGAAAGCAGUUAGGGCCACGCUCGGGAAGGCAUAUUGGUAACACACAGACACGGUGAUUUGCAGCCUCAGUUUUAGAAGCGCCGCACCCACUGGGAGCCCCCCGGGGCCGUGACUGCCUCCCCCUCCCCCCAUGUAGAGGGAGCACCUACCUGGCCCUCCAGACACAAGCGCUCGGCUUGUGUGUGCUUCCUUCUCCAGCUCCUUUAAGAAAUGUUUAGUAUAACAGGACAUUUCAGGGCAACUGGCACUCAGAACGCUCUCUUCCUUUUGCUCCAGUAAGAACGCACAUGCGUACGUUUUCCCCAUGAGGGCCGAGCCGUUUUCGUGCACUGUAUCAGAGAAGGAGAUGAAAUAAUAAACGGGUCUUUCCCAACCCAA
Long non-coding RNA from Lynx canadensis (Canada lynx), 3562 nucleotides. RefSeq lists it as uncharacterized. The record is from RefSeq and is a predicted model, not a curated record. Lineage: Eukaryota; Metazoa; Chordata; Mammalia; Carnivora; Felidae. The transcript has 4 exons.